Pelodiscus sinensis (Chinese soft-shelled turtle) is the source of this 73-nucleotide transfer RNA. It matches the Rfam family "tRNA". Rfam says of the family: Transfer RNA (tRNA) molecules are approximately 80 nucleotides in length. Their secondary structure includes four short double-helical elements and three loops (D, anti-codon, and T loops). Lineage: Eukaryota; Metazoa; Chordata; Testudines; Trionychidae. The record is from Rfam.
GCCAAAAUAGCUCAGUGGGGCUAGCGUUAGACUGAAAAUCUGAAGGUCCCUGCUUCAAUCCCAGGCUUUGGCA